UUAUCCUGCGGUUUUUGUGUGAGGCAAAACUUUGAUCCUUGGAGACUCAGGCAGAAGCUGAACAAAUAAGAAAGAUUUAUUUUACAGAACAAAGUUCAUAAAACCAAAGAUGUGUCAGGGAACUUAUUAGAACAGUUUACACUUGGAACCCCUGGAGUCUCUCACUGCUCAGAGAUUGGGGAGGAUCACACUCUGCCCUCUUCACUAGACUGCACUUCCUGCCACUUGAGAAGGAAAUGGGAAGCCCAACCUGGCUCAAUCCCUCGGCCAAAGAAGAAACUGUGAGGAGUUUGCUUUCCUCCCCUCCCUUCAAGAAAGAACACUCUGCUCUAACUGCCAGUUUCCCUGGCAGUGCAGAGAUUAAAGAAGGAACACUCUGGCCUCUCCCAGCAAAUUGGGCACCAACAGCCACCAGCAGUCUGUGCCCCCUUCCUCCCAGGAAGAACAUCAUGGCAAGGAAGAGAACAAACCAGCCCUGGCAAUCAGCCAGAGAAGGAGUAACUGCAGGGAAGUAUAUGUGUGUAGAUUCCACCCAGAUCUUUAGAGAUAGAUCAGAACAAAUGGCAAUCUGGUAAAACCCGAAUUGCUGUUUGUUCCAGCUGAGAACUAAAGAGCGGUUUCCCCAGGGGGGGAGCUGCAGGACAAGAAGUGUGGAUAAGCUCUAAGUUGGCUGCAUCCAUUGAACAGAGAAAGUGCAGCUGCUCCAGUGCCUGCUUUCCUUUCUCUGCCUUGCUUUCCCUUUCGUAUUGUGCCUGUUCCUGUGAGACUUUUGAUAUAAAUGCACAGUAUUUUUUAAA
Long non-coding RNA from Podarcis muralis (Common wall lizard), 797 nucleotides. RefSeq lists it as uncharacterized. NCBI's taxonomy places the organism in Eukaryota, Metazoa, Chordata, Lepidosauria, Squamata, Lacertidae. The record is from RefSeq and is a predicted model, not a curated record.